This 273-nucleotide ribosomal RNA is filed under the name uncultured bacterium. Its description in RNAcentral is "partial 16S ribosomal RNA". It matches the Rfam family "Bacterial small subunit ribosomal RNA", at positions 524 to 796 of the family's 1533-position model. The record is from RNAcentral.
UACGAAGGGAGCUAGCGUUGUUCGGAUUUAUUGGGUUUAAAGGGUGCGUAGGCGGCCUAUUAAGUCAGUUCUGAAAUAUCCCGGCUUAACCGGGAGGGUGGGAUUGAUACUGAUGGGCUUGAGUGGACUCGAGGUAGGCGGAAUUGACGGUGUAGCGGUGAAAUGCUUAGAUAUCGUCAAGAACACCGAUAGUGUAGACAGCUUACUAGAUUCUAACUGACGCUGAGGCACGAAAGUGUGGGGAUCAAACAGGAUUAGAAACCCCUGUAGUCC